GGGCGGUUAACUCAGCGGUAGAGUGUCACCUUCACACGGUGGAAGUCGUUGGUUCAAACCCAAUACCGCCCACCA
Molecule: transfer RNA, 75 nt
Filed under: Synergistaceae bacterium
Lineage: Bacteria; Thermotogati; Synergistota; Synergistia; Synergistales; Synergistaceae
Description: tRNA-Val
Rfam family: tRNA
About the family: Transfer RNA (tRNA) molecules are approximately 80 nucleotides in length. Their secondary structure includes four short double-helical elements and three loops (D, anti-codon, and T loops).
Source: RNAcentral